Molecule: ribosomal RNA, 689 nt
Filed under: uncultured bacterium
Lineage: Bacteria
Description: SSU rRNA
Rfam family: Bacterial small subunit ribosomal RNA
Source: RNAcentral
GUGCCAGCAGCCGCGGUAAUACGGAGGGGGUUAGCGUUGUUCGGAAUUACUGGGCGUAAAGCGCACGUAGGCGGAUUAUAAAGUUGGGGGUGAAAUCCCGGGGCUCAACCCCGGAACUGCCUCCAAAACUCCUAGUCUAGAGUUCGAGAGAGGUGGGUGGAAUUCCGAGUGUAGAGGUGAAAUUCGUAGAUAUUCGGAGGAACACCAGUGGCGAAGGCGGCUCACUGGCUCGAUACUGACGCUGAGGUGCGAAAGUGUGGGGAGCAAACAGGAUUAUAUACCCUGGUAGUCCACACCGUAAACGAUGAAUGCCAGUCGUCGGGUAGUAUACUAUUCGGUGACACACCUAACGGAUUAAGCAUUCCGCCUGGGGAGUACGGUCGCAAGAUUAAAACUCAAAGGAAUUGACGGGGGCCCGCACAAGCGGUGGAGCAUGUGGUUUAAUUCUAAGCAACGCGCAGAACCUUACCAACCCUUGACAUCCUGUGACAACUCGAGAGAUCGAGCGUUCCUUCGGGACACAUUGACAGGUGCUGCAUGGCUGUCGUCCGCUCGUGUCGUGAGAUGUUCGGUUAAUCCGGCAACGAGCGCAACCCACAUCUUUUAGUUGCCAGCAGUUCGGCUGGGCACUCUAAAUAAACCUGCCCGUUGAUAAGCGGGGAGGAAGGUGUGGGAUGAACGUCAAAUUC